AGUUUUAUCAUGGCUCAGGAUGAACGCCGGCGGUGUGCCUAAUACAUGCAAGUCGAACGCGUUGGCCCAACUGAUUGAACGUGCUUGCACGGACUUGACGUUGGUUUACCAGCGAGUGGCGGACGGGUGAGUAACACGUAGGUAACCUGCCCCAAAGCGGGGGAUAACAUUUGGAAACAGAUGCUAAUACCGCAUAACAAUUUGAAUCGCAUGAUUCAAAUUUAAAAGAUGGCUUCGGCUAUCACUUUGGGAUGGACCUGCGGCGCAUUAGCUUGUUGGUAGGGUAACGGCCUACCAAGGCUGUGAUGCGUAGCCGAGUUGAGAGACUGAUCGGCCACAAUGGAACUGAGACACGGUCCAUACUCCUACGGGAGGCAGCAGUAGGGAAUCUUCCACAAUGGGCGCAAGCCUGAUGGAGCAACACCGCGUGAGUGAAGAAGGGUUUCGGCUCGUAAAGCUCUGUUGUUAGAGAAGAACGUGCGUGAGAGCAACUGUUCACGCAGUGACGGUAUCUAACCAGAAAGUCACGGCUAACUACGUGCCAGCAGCCGCGGUAAUACGUAGGUGGCAAGCGUUAUCCGGAUUUAUUGGGCGUAAAGCGAGCGCAGGCGGUUUGAUAAGUCUGAUGUGAAAGCCUUUGGCUUAACCAAAGAAGUGCAUCGGAAACUGUCAGACUUAAGUGCAG
Molecule: ribosomal RNA, 685 nt
Filed under: Limosilactobacillus mucosae
Lineage: Bacteria; Bacillati; Bacillota; Bacilli; Lactobacillales; Lactobacillaceae
Description: bacterial SSU rRNA
Rfam family: Bacterial small subunit ribosomal RNA
Source: RNAcentral